GACGAGCGCUGGCGGCGUGCUUAACACAUGCAAGUCGAACGGAAAGGCCCUGCUUUUGUGGGGUGCUCGAGUGGCGAACGGGUGAGUAACACGUGAGUAAACUGCCCUUGACUUUGGGAUAACUUCAGGAAACUGGGGCUAAUACAGGAUAGGAGAUCCUGCUGCAUGGUGGGGGUUGGAAAGUUUCGGCGGUUGGGGAUGGACUAGAGGCUUAUCAGCUUGUUGGUGGGGUAGUGGCUUACCAAGGUUGUGACGGGUAGCCGGCCUGAGAGGGUGACCGGCCACAUGGGGACUGAGAGACGGCCCAGACGCCAACGGUAGGCAGAAGUGGGGAAUAUGGCACAAUGGGCGGAAGCCUGAGGCAGCAACGCCGCGAGCGUGAUGACGGCCUUCGGGGUGUAAACCGCUUUCGCCUGUGACGAAGCGGUAGUGACGGUAAUGGGUAAAGAAGCACCGGCUAACUACGUG
Molecule: ribosomal RNA, 468 nt
Filed under: uncultured bacterium
Lineage: Bacteria
Description: partial 16S ribosomal RNA
Rfam family: Bacterial small subunit ribosomal RNA
Source: RNAcentral